CGUCCACGGCCACCCGCCCGUCUGUGGGGCGCUCGGGCAGCCGCGGCGCACUCAGUGCGGACAGCGGAGCGGCUGGAGCCCGGGCGGUGCGGGCUGGGCGGUGCGCCGCGGCAGCGGCCAGGGGGCGGCUCCGCAGAGGCGAGCGCCGCCCGCGCCCCGCUCCCCGCGUCCGCCGGCCGGUGCCUGCGCGCGAGGCGAGCGCAGGGCGGAGGGUGGGGCGAGCCGGGAGAGAGAUGGGAGGAGGGAGGGGAGGCGGGAGCGCGGAGGAGCCAGAGCGUCCGGCGCCCAGUGGGCUCCAGGCUGGGGUUAAAUACCCCGGGGGCGGCGCCGCGCCUCCCUACCCGCGCCCUGCGUCGGAGCCCUUGGACUUCCCCCGCGCGGCGAGGUUGUGCUGGUCUUGCAAGGCCGAGCCCCUUCCCUAGGGCUCCUACACUCACAAAGCCUCAAGAUGGGUUCUCUGCAUGUCAAGUCUGCCCAGAGAGUGCAAACUAUUGGCCGGAGCAAAAGAAAAUCAAGAAGAAAAAGUCUACUAAAAAGUGCCACUUACUGAACGUUUCCCUUUGUGUCCUCAUGUAAUCUGUACAAUGACCCAGUGAAGAAUUUAGGUUGCACCAUUUGAAAAUACUUUUUGGAAGUAGAAAAUGGUUGACAGUUGGCAAGUUCAUAGAAUUCAACUUAUUUUCACUCCCAUUUUACAGAUGGGAAAAGUCUCAGAGAAAGCAGAUGAUGUCCCUGUAGUCUCAGGUCAUCCGGUAGGUAGGUGAGCUGGGACUUGAAAUCAGGACCUUCUGAUGUCCAGAUCUGCUCCUGACUGCUAUGAUAUAGUGUCAUAAGUGAGUUUUGGCUUCUGGUCUACCUGAGGGCUGCCUUCUUUAGUGAAGUGUGGGCUUAACAGAGUGCAAAUACCACUCUACUUUGUGUUUGCAGAAAACAAAGGAUGGCCAAGCUCAGGGACUCUAGUGAUAAAAGUUGGAUGGAUAUUGAUGAAAUGGUCAAAAGAACCCCACAGUGGAUGUGUUAUCUUGGGCAAAUGGCUAAAUGUCCCUCGAUUUCCUCAAGUGUUGGUGUCUCCUUCGUAGGGCGUUUGUAAAUAAAUUAAUGAGUGUGAAAGCUAUGCCUGGCACACAGUGAAUGUUUGAUAACUGGAAAGAACACUAAUUCUUAUAUCGAAUGGAUCCCAUUUAGAAAAACAAAAUCUUUUAGAAUUGCAUUUUUUAAUGAAAAAAACUGGGGGCCGGGCGUGGUGGCUCACGCCUGUAAUCCUAGCACUUUGGGAAACCGAGGCGGGCAGAUCAUCUGAGAUUGGGAGUUCGAGACAAGCCUGACCAACAUGGAGAAACCCCAUCUCUACUAAAAAUACAAAAUUAGCCGGGUGUGGUGGUGCACGCCUGUAAUCAUAGCUACUCACGAGGCUGAGGCAGGAGAAUCUCUUGAACCCGGGAGGUGGAGGUUGCAGUGAGCCAAGAUCAUGCCAUUGCACUCCAGCCUAGGCAACAAGAGUGACACGCUGUCUCAAAAAAAAAAAAAAAAAAAAAAAAAAAAAGAAAGAAAGAAAAAAGUAAUGGCAAAAUUUGGAUACAAGAUGAUUCUCAAAAAACAAAUAGUUGGGAUCAUUUAAAAAGUUUGCUAUAAUAGCUUUGCAGUCAUAAGGUAAAAUAACAAUGAUAGCUUCACAGAACAGAGCAUAUGGGAUUGAAAAGGCAUUCAGCUUCCUCUAAAGGUUGUGCCUAAAUUCAAUAACAGGAAAUGUGAAACUUUCCCUAUUUCCUUAGAUCUCCUUUCCUUGCACUUCAUGGAAGCUUUUUUGGUUUUGUUUGUGUUUUAAUGUACAGGUAGCCUGGGUUGCAGUGUGAGGGAGACAGACCACAGAGACAUGUAUGGAUAACAGCAAAAAGGAAAUGGAGAAACUGCUGGAAUUUGAUCAAUAGUAAACAAUGUACUGAGAACACACAUUUACAACACAUAUAUGCUCAUCAGUCAUCAGGUUUUCACUAAGUAUCUAGUACAUUUUGACCCAGAGAGAAAUGCUUGGGGCAUGCGGGGGGUGAGAAAGAACUGGUCAAGGUAUCCUGAAAAGUCUUUGAGUUAAGUUCUUAGAUAAUGCCUAUUAAUUUACCUGCACCUAUAUUCAUUCAUAGUAUAUUUCUGCGAAAGGAGGCAGACAUAGAAUGAAAAAUUGAAUUGAAUAUGGAAUUAGACAAUGGGGAAGAGAGAUCCAAACUAAAUAAGGUCUUCAUUCCAAUUUCCUAUGAUGUGCAAUCUGUUGUCAUGGGACAGCAAGACAAAGGGAAAUGACUAUUGGCACGCGUGUGAAUUUAAUGAGGAACAUUAGUGGAACAUACCUUAUCUCUCCUCCCAGUAUGGAAAAAUCUGUGUAAGAGAAGGAAGUCCUUAAAAUAGUAUCCUAUGACCAUCACCCCAACUAAAACAGUGAAAUCUGAGGUGGUAAAUCUCCUUUUACAAACCAGUUCUGAUGUAUUUCUUGGGGGGAAAAAAACUCUUAAGAAACAGAAAAGGGGAAAGGGUUUCUGUAGUUCCUCUGUAUAUUUUUAGAAAAAUGGCAUCACUUUGCAGACUUGAAUCUAGAGUCUGAGGGUUAUAAACCAACUUCCUCAGUGUUUCCACUACAUCUUUUCAGCCUGGCAGCUCUUCAGAUAUACGAGUUUCUACCACUCAUUGGUCAUUUCUUAACUCGAGUGAACAAAAUUGUUGGCUUUUUAAGGAAAUUGCCUGUCUGGUGGGUAAAGCAUAUCUAUUUGUAAGGUGUCAAGAAACAGAUAAUAAAAUAGAUCCAUUUCUGCUAACACAAUAAUACUCCUUUAAUCUGAGCCAGUGCUAUGACUCAUCUGCCUGUCUCCUCUUGUGGGAUGGAAAGGGAGCUGUCUGCAAACCUUCAGCAGUGGGAGGAGGGAGGGAGAUACUUUUCACAUGUUAGGGCUGCUGCUCUGCUUUGAAAACCCACCAACUCUAGAACUGCUGUUUUCUCUAGGCUGAAGAGGCCUUUGGUCCUUAGAGGUGAGAGGUUGGCCCUAUUUUUGAUAAUUUAUCUCAAGGUAGACUUUGGUCCCGAGGAAGCUUCUACCCAGAGCUAAGGAGGCCUCCAUGGACUGUAGGUAAGCUGGAGAGCAGGGUCCAAGCUAGCUCAAUGUCCAUCUAACAGAACAAGGUGCUAGAAGACAGCCUUGAAAAAGGGAGCUUUUCCUAUUUCUUUCUUGCCAGUAAAAAUAAGCUUUAAUUAGUCCCCCCUCUUGUUUAAAAAGUAAUGC
Long non-coding RNA from Papio anubis (olive baboon), 3266 nucleotides. The record is from Ensembl. Lineage: Eukaryota; Metazoa; Chordata; Mammalia; Primates; Cercopithecidae.